GACGAACGCUGGCGGCGCGCUUAACACAUGCAAGUCGAACGGAAAGGCCUGCUUUCCCUUGUGGACUGCGGGUACUCGAGUGGCGAACGCGUGAGUAACACGUGCGUGAUCUGCCCCCAACUUGGGAAUAAGCCUGGGCAACUGGGUCUAAUUACCGCCAGGUCCGCAGGGUGGUGUCUGUGGUUGCAAACGAUUUUCUAGUGCUUGGGGAUGAGCUCGCGGCCUAUCAGGUUGUUGGUGGGGGAAUGGCGUACGAAGGCUGGGUCGGGUAGGCGGCCUGGGGGUGUGGACGGCCGCAUGGGAACGGAGACACGGCCAAGACUCCUACGGGAGGCAGCAGUGGGGAAGCUGGAGCGAGGGACAGAGGCCUGAGGCAGCGACGCCGCGGGAGGGAUGACGGCCUUCGGGUUGUAAACUCCGGGCGACCGCGAGGAAGCCACCUGGUUGGAAGGGUGGUGACGGUAGUGGUAGAAGAAGCACCGGCUAACUACGUG
This 494-nucleotide ribosomal RNA is filed under the name uncultured bacterium. RNAcentral describes it as "partial 16S ribosomal RNA". It matches the Rfam family "Bacterial small subunit ribosomal RNA", at positions 28 to 507 of the family's 1533-position model. The record is from RNAcentral.